AUGGAGAACAAAGUACAUUGGAUCGGCUGGCCUAAGUUGAUCAAGUCGAAGGGUAGAGGAGGACUGGGGUUCCGCGCUAUUCACUCCUUUAAAAUAGCCAUGUUAGCUAGGCAAGCUUGGAGACUACUACAGAAUAUGGUGAGUCUAUCUGCCCAAUUAUUAAAGGCUAGAUAUCAUCCCGAGACAAGUGUGUUGGAAGCACGGAUGGAGGGGAACAUGUCAUACGCAUGGCACAGCAUUCUGCAUGGUUUCGACCUGGUGAAGAGAGGAGUGCUAUGGAGGAUUGGAGAUGGCGCAAAUGUUGAUAUUUGGAAGGACCCAUGGAUACCACGAGCGUGGACACGUAGAGUUAUCACACUAAGGGGAGCCAAUAUUAUGACCAAGAUCUCAGACCUAAUUGAUUCGGCUACUGGACAAUGGGAUGAUGAGUUAGUAAAGGACACCUUCUAG
RNAcentral lists this ribosomal RNA (450 nucleotides) under Triticum aestivum (bread wheat). Its description in RNAcentral is "partial small subunit ribosomal RNA". Lineage: Eukaryota; Viridiplantae; Streptophyta; Magnoliopsida; Poales; Poaceae. The record is from RNAcentral.